RNAcentral lists this ribosomal RNA (445 nucleotides) under uncultured bacterium. RNAcentral describes it as "partial 16S ribosomal RNA". It matches the Rfam family "Bacterial small subunit ribosomal RNA", at positions 354 to 796 of the family's 1533-position model. The record is from RNAcentral.
GUGAGGAAUAUUGGACAAUGGGCGCAAGCCUGAUCCAGCCAUGCCGCGUGCAGGAAGACGCAUCUAUGGUGUGUAAACUGCUUUUGUACGGGAAGAAACACUCCCUCGUGAGGGAGCUUGACGGUAUCGUAAGAAUAAGGAUCGGCUAACUCCGUGCCAGCAGCCGCGGUAAUACGGAGGAUCCAAGCGUUAUCCGGAAUCAUUGGGUUUAAAGGGUCCGUAGGCGGUUUAAUAAGUCAGUGGUGAAAGCCCAUCGCUCAACGAUGGAACGGCCAUUGAUACUGUUAGACUUGAAUUACAAGGAAGUAACUAGAAUAUGUAGUGUAGCGGUGAAAUGCUUAGAUAUUACAUGGAAUACCAAUUGCGAAGGCAGGUUACUACUUGUGGAUUGACGCUGAUGGACGAAAGCGUGGGGAGCGAACAGGAUUAGAAACCCCGGUAGUCC